AUAGGUGCAACAUAUGAAAACUAAUGAUGCUUGGUGUAGCAUGGAAUGAUAAUUGCAAUUGUACAGUUCUGUGCACUACAUUGUCUGAUGUUACAAGGCUGCAGCUAGAUAUUGUUCAUGCUAUGGCUAGAUAAUUGGCAUCCUAUGGUAUAUUGUUGGAAAGCUGAAGCUAAAGCAAAUUUUUCAGCCUCCCAUUAUUGCCUCAGCUUUGGCUAUCAUCAUUGGCGCUAUACCAUUUUUGAAGAACUUCAUCUUGACUGAUGAUGCCCCGCUAUUCUUCUUCACUGACAGCUGCCUUAUUCUUGGGGAAGCGAUGAUCCCAUGUAUUUUGCUUGCUCUGGGUGGAAAUCUUGUGGAUGGCUCUGGCCCAGGCAGUAAAAGACUUGGUUUACGAACAACUGCUGCUAUCAUAUUUUGAAGAUUGGUUUUGGUUCCUCCUACAG
Zingiber officinale is the source of this 443-nucleotide long non-coding RNA. RefSeq lists it as uncharacterized. The record is from RefSeq and is a predicted model, not a curated record. Lineage: Eukaryota; Viridiplantae; Streptophyta; Magnoliopsida; Zingiberales; Zingiberaceae. The transcript is spliced from 5 exons.